AUUGAACGCUGGCGGCAGGCCUAACACAUGCAAGUCGAGCGGAUGAAGGGAGCUUGCUCCUGGAUUCAGCGGCGGACUGGUGAGUAAUGCCUAGGAAUCUGCCUGGUAGUGGGGGAUAACGUCCGGAAACGGGCGCUAAUACCGCAUACGUCCUGAGGGAGAAAGUGGGGGAUCUUCGGACCUCACGCUAUCAGAUGAGCCUAGGUCGGAUUAGCUAGUUGGUGGGGUAAAGGCCUACCAAGGCGACGAUCCGUAACUGGUCUGAGAGGAUGAUCAGUCACACUGGAACUGAGACACGGUCCAGACUCCUACGGGAGGCAGCAGUGGGGAAUAUUGGACAAUGGGCGAAAGCCUGAUCCAGCCAUGCCGCGUGUGUGAAGAAGGUCUUCGGAUUGUAAAGCACUUUAAGUUGGGAGGAAGGGCAGUAAGUUAAUACCUUGCUGUUUUGACGUUACCAACAGAAUAAGCACCGGCUAACUUCGUG
RNAcentral lists this ribosomal RNA (484 nucleotides) under uncultured bacterium. Its description in RNAcentral is "partial 16S ribosomal RNA". It matches the Rfam family "Bacterial small subunit ribosomal RNA", at positions 30 to 507 of the family's 1533-position model. The record is from RNAcentral.